UUCUUUCUGGAUCACGUACGCACAUCA
This 27-nucleotide non-coding RNA is filed under the name Cricetulus griseus (Chinese hamster). The record is from RNAcentral. Lineage: Eukaryota; Metazoa; Chordata; Mammalia; Rodentia; Cricetidae.